RNAcentral lists this unclassified non-coding RNA (18 nucleotides) under synthetic construct. RNAcentral's name for it is "RNA (5'-R(P*UP*AP*AP*CP*GP*CP*UP*GP*CP*GP*G)-3') from synthetic construct (PDB 7UU5, chain M)". The record is from RNAcentral.
UUAACGCUGCGGCCUUUU